UAUUUAGGUAGCGCCUCGUGAAUUCAUCUCCGGGGGUAGAGCACUGUUUCGGCUAGGGGGCCAUCCCGGCUUACCAACCCGAUGCAAACUGCGAAUACCGGAGAAUGUUAUCACGGGAGACACACGGCGGGUGCUAACGUCCGUCGUGAAGAGGGAAAACCCAGACCGCCAGCUAAGGUCCCAAAGUCAUGGUUAAGUGGGAAACGAUGUGGGAAGGCCCAGACAGCCAGGAUGUUGGCUUAGAAGCAGCCAUCAUUUAAAGAAAGCGUAAUAGCUCACUGGUCGAGUCGGCCUGCGCGGAAGAUGUAACGGGGCUAAACCAUGCACCGAAGCUGCGGCAGCGACACUAUGUGUUGUUGGGUAGGGGAGCGUUCUGUAAGCCGUUGAAGGUGUGCUGUGAGGCAUGCUGGAGGUAUCAGAAGUGCGAAUGCUGACAUAAGUAACGAUAAAGCGGGUGAAAAGCCCGCUCGCCGGAAGACCAAGGGUUCCUGUCCAACGUUAAUCGGGGCAGGGUGAGUCGACCCCUAAGGCGAGGCCGAAAGGCGUAGUCGAUGGGAAACAGGUUAAUAUUCCUGUACUUGGUGUUACUGCGAAGGGGGACGGAGAAGGCUAUGUCGGCCGGGCGACGGUUGUCCCGGUUUAAGCGUGUAGGUGUGUGCUCCAGGCAAAUCCGGUGCACUUUAACACUGAGGCGUGAUGACGAGGCACUACGGUGCUGAAGUGACAAAUGCCCUGCUUCCAGGAAAAGCCUCUAAGCAUCAGGUAACACGAAAUCGUACCCCAAACCGACACAGGUGGUCAGGUAGAGAAUACCAAGGCGCUUGAGAGAACUCGGGUGAAGGAACUAGGCAAAAUGGUGCCGUAACUUCGGGAGAAGGCACGCUGAUAUGUAGGUGAAGUGAUUUACUCAUGGAGCUGAAAUCAGUCGAAGAUACCAGCUGGCUGCAACUGUUUAUUAAAAACACAGCACUGUGCAAACACGAAAGUGGACGUAUACGGUGUGACGCCUGCCCGGUGCCGGAAGGUUAAUUGAUGGGGUUAUCCUCGCGGAGAAGCUCUUGAUCGAAGCCCCGGUAAACGGCGGCCGUAACUAUAACGGUCCUAAGGUAGCGAAAUUCCUUGUCGGGUAAGUUCCGACCUGCACGAAUGGCGUAAUGAUGGCCAGGCUGUCUCCACCCGAGACUCAGUGAAAUUGAACUCGCUGUGAAGAUGCAGUGUACCCGCGGCAAGACGGAAAGACCCCGUGAACCUUUACUAUAGCUUGACACUGAACACUGGUCCUUGAUGUGUAGGAUAGGUGGGAGGCUUUGAAGUGUGGACGCCAGUCUGCAUGGAGCCGCCCUUGAAAUACCACCCUUUAAUGGCUGGUGUUCUAACGUGGGCCCGUAAUCCGGGUUGCGGACAGUGUCUGGUGGGUAGUUUGACUGGGGCGGUCUCCUCCUAAAGAGUAACGGAGGAGCACGAAGGUCAGCUAAUCCUGGUCGGACAUCAGGAGGUUAGUGCAAUGGCAUAAGCUGGCUUGACUGCGAGCGUGACGGCGCGAGCAGGUGCGAAAGCAGGUCAUAGUGAUCCGGUGGUUCUGAAUGGAAGGGCCAUCGCUCAACGGAUAAAAGGUACUCCGGGGAUAACAGGCUGAUACCGCCCAAGAGUUCAUAUCGACGGCGGUGUUUGGCACCUCGAUGUCGGCUCAUCACAUCCUGGGGCUGAAGUAGGUCCCAAGGGUAUGGCUGUUCGCCAUUUAAAGUGGUACGCGAGCUGGGUUUAGAACGUCGUGAGACAGUUCGGUCCCUAUCUGCCGUGGGCGCUGGAGAACUGAGGGGGGCUGCUCCUAGUACGAGAGGACCGGAGUGGACGCAUCACUGGUGUUCGGGUUGUCAUGCCAAUGGCACUGCCCGGUAGCUAAAUGCGGAAGAGAUAAGUGCUGAAAGCAUCUAAGCACGAAACUUGCCCCGAGAUGAGUUCUCCCUGACUCCUUGAGAGUCCUGAAGGAACGUUGAAGACGACGACGUUGAUAGGCCGGGUGUGUAAGCGCAGCGAUGCGUUGAGCUAACCGGUACUAAUGAACCGUGAGGCUUAACCUU
Molecule: ribosomal RNA, 2081 nt
Filed under: Citrobacter koseri
Lineage: Bacteria; Pseudomonadati; Pseudomonadota; Gammaproteobacteria; Enterobacterales; Enterobacteriaceae
Description: bacterial LSU rRNA
Rfam family: Bacterial large subunit ribosomal RNA
Source: RNAcentral